Molecule: long non-coding RNA, 325 nt
Organism: Cydia fagiglandana
Lineage: Eukaryota; Metazoa; Arthropoda; Insecta; Lepidoptera; Tortricidae
Exons: 2
Source: RefSeq, a predicted model, not a curated record
UUUCCGUUAAUUUCUAAGGUGCAUUCCUGAGCUUAAAUCAAGUAACUUUCUCAGUGACACCGAUAUUCUAAUUAACUCCAUUUCGGAGAUAUUCAAUUUUUUUUCCUAUAAGGCCUCUACAAGCGUAUACACUUGCCUUAGGGCCGGUUUACAUAUUGAUUAGUGUUAAUAAUGAGUUCAUACAUUUGCUACUAAACUUAAGCACAAUCUCGGUCGAUCGAUGUUCCAAAUGACAUUGAUAUGUCACAGAUUUCAAUUGUUUGGUUGAGUUAAAUGUAAUGCCCGUGUUACAACAACGCUAUAUGCUACAUUUAAUUACUUUUUA